This is a long non-coding RNA of Daucus carota subsp. sativus, 889 nucleotides long. RefSeq lists it as uncharacterized. The transcript has 2 exons. The record is from RefSeq and is a predicted model, not a curated record. NCBI's taxonomy places the organism in Eukaryota, Viridiplantae, Streptophyta, Magnoliopsida, Apiales, Apiaceae.
UCGAAAAAAUGUUUCAAAAUAACGUCGGAUGAUCCAACGUUUUAAUUUUUUAGAAGAAAACGCUAGAUGGUUUUAUGUUUUGGUCUAAGAAACCCUUAAAAUAUAACACGAUCUGACGUUUUUGGAAUAAAACGUUAAACACUAGAUCAAGCAUUUUAGAUUGUAAAGUGAUAGAUUUGGGUCAUCUUUCCCGUCACCAAUAUUUAACGUCAUUUUCUUCAAUUUUUUGACAUCCGAGAUGGUGAAGUGAUUUAAGGAGAGACAGUAAUUUAACAAAAAUUAUCCUGCACAUGAUAUGCAUGCAGUCACCUGACUAGCUUCACUAUAAAAGCAGCACAACUCUGUCCUUGCUUCCCACCAACGCAGAUAUAUCACCUGCCUGCACUGCCCAUUUCUGUGUGAGAGCCUUGAAGAAUGAAGAGGAUACUUUAUCUAGUGUUUGUUCUCCCAUUGUUGAUAACCAUGUUGAUGAACUCUGGCAUGUCCAUGAACGUGAAGUCACUGAUGGCAGAAAUGAAUCUCCACGACAUCGAGGUGCGGAAACUAUCUGCUGUUGCAGGGAGCAACUCUGAGCAUCCUGGUGUGAACAGUGAUGUGAACAACCACCAUUUUAUUCCGAGGCAGGACUAUGGGAAAUAUGGUGGUGGAACUCCCAGUGGAGGACCUGAUGAUAACAGUGAUAAGUCACAAGAGAAGAAUUAGGUUUUGUGUAUUGUUGAACUUCUAAAGUCAUAUGAGCAAUAAGUUGUUUCAGUUGUUAAUGAAUAGUGUUUAGUUUGAGACUUUGAGUAAAUCUGUAAAUGUGGUAUGUGUAAUUGAGCAUGCAGUGUGCUUAUACUAUGUGAUAUUGUACUUGUAAACUAAAGGAUAUGGAUAUGUUUAAUAUGUA